RNAcentral lists this ribosomal RNA (713 nucleotides) under Trypetheliopsis kalbii. RNAcentral describes it as "SSU rRNA". It matches the Rfam family "Bacterial small subunit ribosomal RNA", at positions 417 to 1180 of the family's 1533-position model. Lineage: Eukaryota; Fungi; Ascomycota; Dothideomycetes; Monoblastiales; Monoblastiaceae. The record is from RNAcentral.
UGAGUUUUGUAAAUUGAACAAAGCAAAAGAUUAUAUCCCAUAAAGUUCUAGAUAAAUGAUUGAUGAUGACAGUUUUUUAUCUAUAUGUCUUGGCUAAAUUUUGUGCCAGCAGCCGCGGUAAUACAAAGGAGACUUGUGUUAUUCAUCUUUAUUAGGUUUAAAGGGUACCUAGACAGUUUUUCUAGCGCUUUGCGUGAGAUACAAAACAGAAAAGCUAGAGUUUGAUGUAGGAGGUAAAUGAAGUAUUAAAAGUGUAGAGAUAAAAUUCUUUGAUACUCUUAGGACGGAUAAAUGUGAAGACAAACCUCUAUGUAAAAACUGACGUUGAGGGACGAAGGCAUUGUGGCACGAACAGGAUUAGAUACCCCAGUAGUCUUUGCAGAAAAUGAUAAGUGCCAUAGGCUUGAAGAAUAAAAUAUAAUUCAGGUUUAUCAAUGAAAGUGUAAGCACUUCACCUCAUGAGUAAUGGGGCAACCCAGGAAUUGAAAUCAUUAGACCGUUUCUGAAAACAGUAGUGAAGUAUGUUGUUUAAUUCGAUGAUCCGCGAAAAACCUUACCACAAUUUGAAUAAUAUUUAUUUAUAGAAUAUUACAAGCGUUGCAUGGUUGUCUUUAGUUCAUGUCGUGAGAUUUGGCUCUCCUUUAAUAGACGAAAACCCUUACUUUUUUUAUUCAAAAGUUGUUCUCCGUUACAUAGGAUAAGAUAACAGGGAU